UAGGGAAUCUUCGGCAAUGGGGGCAAACCUGACCGAGCAACGCCGCGUGAGUGAAGAAGGUUUUCGGAUCGUAAAGCUCUGUUGUAAGAGAAGAACGUGUGUGAGAGUGGAAAGUUCACACAGUGACGGUAACUUACCAGAAAGGGACGGCUAACUACGUGCCAGCAGCCGCGGUAAUACGUAGGUCCCGAGCGUUGUCCGGAUUUAUUGGGCGUAAAGCGAGCUCAGGCGGUUUAAUAAGUCUGAAGUUAAAGGCAGUGGCUCAACCAUUGUUCGCUUUGGAGACUGUAAAACUAGAGUGCAGAAGGGGAGAGUGGAAUUCCCGGUGUAGCGGUGAAAUGCGUAGAUAUAUGGAGGAGCACCGGUGGCGAAAGCGGCUCUCUGGUCUGUAACUGACGCUGAGGCUCGAAAGCGUGGGGAGCAAACAGG
RNAcentral lists this ribosomal RNA (429 nucleotides) under bacterium. RNAcentral's name for it is "partial 16S ribosomal RNA". It matches the Rfam family "Bacterial small subunit ribosomal RNA", at positions 355 to 776 of the family's 1533-position model. The record is from RNAcentral.